Molecule: small RNA, 527 nt
Filed under: Pongo abelii (Sumatran orangutan)
Lineage: Eukaryota; Metazoa; Chordata; Mammalia; Primates; Hominidae
Description: retained intron
Source: RNAcentral
AGUCACACUAGAAGGGGAGGAGAGAAAAGCCAUGGCCGACAAGGUCCUGAAGGAGAAGAGAAAGCUGUUUAUCCGUUCCAUGGGUGAAGGCACGAUAAAUGGCUUACUGGAUGAAUUAUUACAGACAAGGGUGCUGAACAAGGAAGAGACAGAGAAAGUAAAACGUGAAAAUGCUACAGUUAUGGAUAAGACCCGAGCUUUGCUUGACUCUCUUAUUCCGAAAGGGGCACGGGCAUGUGAAAUUUGCAUCACAUACAUUUGUGAAGAAGACAGUUACCUGGCAGAGACGCUGGGACUCUCAGCAGAUCAAACAUCUGGAAAUUACCUUAAUAUGCAAGACUCUCAAGGAGUACUUUCUUCCUUUCCAGCUCCUCAGGCAGUGCAGGACAACCCAGCUAUGCCCACAUCUUCAGGCUCAAAAGGGAAUGUCAAGCUUUGCUCCCUAAAAGAAGCUCAAAAGAUAUGGAAAGAAAAGCCGGCAGAGGUGCCAUGCUCAGAACACAAGGAUUAGAGUGGGGUGAAAGAAA